CAUACACACUCUUCACAUACAUGCACAUACACUCCUCUAGUCUCUAUAUAAAUUAUGUGUGCAUACACACACACACACAGACACCCAUCACUGAAGCCCCCUGCCAAGCCUGAAGCAUGGAAGGAGGAUCUGUAUUCUCUUCAAGACCACCACCCCAAUUCCUGGAAUUGCAGAGUUAGAAGGAGCAAAAGGAAAGCAGAGCCAUCCAACAUAAGCUGAUCAUCGAAGUCCCCUGCUCCUCAGUCUAUAUAUGUGUGGGCGUUUAUACAUGUAUGUGUAUGUAAGUUAACACAGUCAUGUGCCCCUUAACCACAAGUUCCAUUCUGAGAAAUGCGUUGCUAGGCAAUUUCGUCGGUAAGCAAACAUCACAGAGUAUACUGACACAACCCUACACGGUACCAUCUACCACUUGCCGGGACUAUGAGCCAAUAGCCUACUGCUACCCACUGCAAAUCUGUGUAGCAUGGUUCUGCACUAGCGCUGCGGGCACCUGUAACGUACCAGGAAGGAUCUGUGCAUCUAAACACAGAAAAGGCACAAGAUGAUGUAAGAAGUGAAAGAAAGCACCAAGCCCUGGGGCGGACGCCGACAGAGAGACCUCUACAAAGUCAUGAUCCCCAAAUGUCCACACACUCAGGGAAACGGUGGACUAAGGAAUGCCCGCCUAGAAAAGGAGAAUGGACAGAGAAACAGAUAUGCCCAACAAAGACUUCAUGCUGCAAGCCACCCCUAUUCUCAGCUAGCCCUGGAUUACACACAUGUUCAUGCCUGGCAUGUUCACGAAGGUCUUCAUACAUGAACCUUGAACUUCAUGUGGGACAGCCUCACACGCCAUUGGCUUACCAUCCAGCCUCUGACAGACA
Molecule: long non-coding RNA, 863 nt
Organism: Tupaia belangeri chinensis (Chinese tree shrew)
Lineage: Eukaryota; Metazoa; Chordata; Mammalia; Scandentia; Tupaiidae
Exons: 3
Source: RefSeq, a predicted model, not a curated record